UACAGGGGGUGCGAGCGUUGUCCGGAAUCACUGGGCGUAAAGGGCGCGUAGGCGGCCUGAUAAGUAGGGGGUGAAAUCCUGUGGCUUAACUGCAGGGCUGCCUCCUAGACUGUUAGGCUCGAGCACGGUAGAGGCAGAUGGAAUUCCCGGUGUAGCGGUGGAAUGCGUAGAGAUCGGGAAGAACAUCGGUGGCGAAGGCGGUCUGCUGGGCCGUUGCUGACGCUGAGGCGCGACAGCGUGGGGAGCAAACAGG
This 253-nucleotide ribosomal RNA is filed under the name uncultured bacterium. Its description in RNAcentral is "partial 16S ribosomal RNA". It matches the Rfam family "Bacterial small subunit ribosomal RNA", at positions 524 to 776 of the family's 1533-position model. The record is from RNAcentral.